AUCAUAGGUGUUUUAUCACGGUGAUGGAAAACUGAUGAAGUCACAUUGUCUGGUAAUCAGAUCUGAAGCAAUAAUGUACUACACGCAGCAGAUUUGGCAGGCGCAGUGGUUUCAAUGAGAUAUCCUCCAUAUGCCCAAGCAUCUGAAUACUUGGUCUCCCGUCGGUGGCCCUGUUUGGUAGGUUAAGGAGCUGGAGGAAGUGACCUUGCUAUAGAAAAUGAGUCAUUGUGGGCGGCCUUUGAGGUUUCAAAAGGCUUGAGCCAUUCCCGGUUUGCUCUCUCUGCUUCCCGUUUGUACAUUGAGUUGUGAGUCCUUAGCUCUCAGCUCCAGCUCCAGUUGCCAAGCCUGCCUGCUGUCACACUUGCCUGCCGUGAUGGUGGCACACUCUUAUCCCUCUGGAGCUGUAAACCCAAAGAAGCCCUUCCUUCUCUAAGUGGCCUUGGUCAUGGUGUUUUAUCAGAGCAAUGGAAAAGCAACUGACAUAGGCUUUCUGAGAAACAUCUGGAAGGAGAGAGGACAGCAGGGCAAAGCAGGCUCAGCCAAGUCCUCAGAUUGCCUGGGCACCCUAUCCAGGACAGCCUUGAAGAGCUGACCCAAGCAUGCGUACUGCCACUAGAAGGAGCUGUAACCCUUGGACUACACCUUUCUUCAGCAGCAGCAGCUCCUGGAAAGAUCCCUGGACAGUCAACACACAGUUUGUGCCAUCUCCUUUAAAGAAACUUGAAAACGUUAUAUUCCUUCCUGCAGCAAGAUCAAGAACAUCCUCAGGAGAAGAAAAAAAUGAAACAACACCACCCACUGCCCAGUGUUCAUCAGCAGAGGACACACUGAAUCUAUUGA
This 840-nucleotide long non-coding RNA is filed under the name Cricetulus griseus (Chinese hamster). RNAcentral's name for it is "lncRNA (ENSCGRG00015032499.1)". The record is from RNAcentral. Lineage: Eukaryota; Metazoa; Chordata; Mammalia; Rodentia; Cricetidae.